RNAcentral lists this long non-coding RNA (5273 nucleotides) under Sus scrofa (pig). Its description in RNAcentral is "lncRNA (ENSSSCG00000061059.1)". The record is from RNAcentral. Lineage: Eukaryota; Metazoa; Chordata; Mammalia; Artiodactyla; Suidae.
CAGUGUUCACUGUCAUCUUGUAGGUCUUCCUUGUCCUCAUGACGUGUAGAGCAUGGGAUAUGGGUUCAAGAAGAGAGAAUGGGAGUUCCUGUCAUGGCUCAGCAGCUAAUGAACCCGUCUAGCAUCCAUGAGGAUGCAGGUUUGAUCCCUGGCCUUGCUCCCUGGGUUAAGGAUCCCAUGUUGCCGUAAGCUGUGGAGUAGGUCCAGAGGUCAGAUGCCGUGUUGCUGUGGCUGUAGUGUAGGCCAGCAGCUACAGUUCUGAUUGCACCCCUAGCCUAGGAACCUCUAUAUGCCGUAGGUGUGGCCCUAAAAAGACAAAAAAAAAAAAAAAAAAAGACAAGACAGAAUGGCAUUGGGUUUUAUAGAAGGCUGCACAACAAUCAUAAGGAUUAUGGUUUCUGCUACUCGGCAACGUAAACUCUGUUCAAUUCUCUAACCACCAACACACACACACACACACAAACACACAAUUCCUCUUGUAACUUGUAACAUGGGCCAUAGGGCCAAUAAUUAACUCCUAAUGGAGUUUCUGUAAGAUAACAUUGAUCUCAAAGUAUAUAUGGAAUUAAAUAAGAUCACUAAUCUAUUUACCAAUAAUCUCUGGCAUUUGAAACUCUAAAUAAAGUUUAUAAAAUCUUUAAUUAUUUUAAUACAUUAUUUUUUCCCUACUACACCAUAGUGGUUAAAAUUUCCUUUAGAAUUCUCUUUGGUUAUCCAUCCUGAAAUUUUAGAAGGAAAAUCUAGGAGUGAAGGUAAUUCUUCUCCAUAUUUUUCCUUUUGCCAAACUGUAUUUAAAAAUCACUCACACACACACACACACACUCUCUCUGUCUCUCUCUCCUUUUCAGUAUUAAUAGGAUUCUCAUUCAACUGAUAAGAAUUAAGUUGCUAACAAUGUGCCAGACACUUCCUUUACCUUCUGAGGUUUUUCAGGCCAUUACAUGAGAAAAGAUACCUGCAUUAUCCUGCUGCUCUAACAGGUGGAAAUAUUGAAAUGCAAAGAAAUUGUAUUUGUGAUACCACCUCCCUACCUAUCCAGGCAAAUAUCCUUUCAUCAUAAUUGACCCCCAACUCUGUCUCCUACCUCAACACACACACAUAUUCACACACACAGCCACCUGCCCUUCUGACCUACGCAGACAGUCUAUUAGAAUGUGCGAGAACAUUGUAAAUGGAUCUUUGCUAUCUUAAACUUCCUGCUACCUGAAAGCUUCCCAGUUAUGAAUUCUUCAUGUGUCAGCUGAAAUGCCAGGUAUGCUUCCACUAUGAUGAGCUCUCUGAUUCACUUAGGCAUUUUCGGGUCUCCAUUUCCCAGGGAUAUUCUUCCUUUUUUAUAAUCCUGCCUAUUCAUAUUUCCCUUUUUAUAGGAAUUAUAUGUAACCAUUACGGUCCUCCCCAAUAGACGAAGCUUCAAAUCGAGGGCAUAUUAUGGUAGGUACUUAAUGUGUGUGAUAAACAAACCAAUCGUAUACCCAGGGUCACAGGAGUGUAACUCAAGCUUGCACCAUUUCAGUUUUGUUCUAAUUACUCUAUCAGAAAGACCAUGACUUCAAAUUCUCACACUGACUCCUUCCUUUUCAACAGAUGUUUUCUCUCCACUAAGAGGGACCUACUGUUAGGAGGAGAAAGAGUCCCUGGUCUCAUACGAUAAUUCUUCACUUGCUGGAGAAGCUUAUGAUCAGGUCCUGGAUCACAUGUAAUGUUACUGACCUUUACUGCCUCUAUUCUGAAUGAUCACAGGAAUUGUCUAUAGAAUUAGAUCAACCCAAAACAGAAUACUAUUUAUUUAGUUCCUACAUACAUUCUGGGGGAUUAGUAGUAGUAGCAUUUAAUGUAUCAUUUUCUUGCUUCCUUCCUAAACAAUGAUCACUUACUUAUGUUAGUGCAUAAAUAAAUAGAAUGAUUAAAGAGUAAAAUGACAUCUCAUUCUGCUUUUUGUCCAAGCACUAACAAAUCCUAAACUAUGGCUUUAUUUUUAAUCUAUUGUUUCGAUACUAGUGGAAGACAAAAGUUGAAAUUACUGAUAAGCUCAUAAUUAUCUUCCUUUCAGUAUUGAUAUCUUGAUAACUACAUAUUUAGGUAAAUCAAGUUAUACUUGACCAGGAUAGACUUAUGACCCACGAUGUGCCAAUAAAGUCCCUGCCACCUACAGAGACUGGUUCAAACUAUCGGCGUGAAAGUCAUGAAACUCUAGCCAGGCCAAUCACGUUCUGUUCUCCCGGGGUAGAAAAAGGCUAUUUGUAUUUGAGCAAAAAUGUUUAUCUGUCUACAUUUGUUUUGGAGAGAGACUGUAGGUAAAAAGUGGAAAAGAGAGAGAGGAGAAAAAGGAGAGAGAAACAAGAAAAUGACAAAGCUGUUGUUUUUGGUAUGCCUGAUGUACCACUCCCACCCUUUCCUAGGUAAUAGCAAAAUAAACAACAAAAUCCCCCCUUUAGAUCAUAAUGGCAGAAACCAAACUGUGUAACUUUGUUACACAGUGACACAGUGUGGUCUGUGGACCAGAAACCAUGACGUCACUUCCAAGGUCUCUAUGGAAGAGUUUUGCUUUCAGGCUCCACUUCAAACUUGCUAAACCAGAACCUGUAUUUGAAAUUUUCAUGUAAAGAAAAUCCCCUGGUCUUUUAUAUGCACAUGAAUGAUUGAGAAACACUGGUUAUCACCGCAUUGUUGCCCACUCCCUGUGUUAAAUUCUCACUGACUUUUUUCAAACUUCCUCAACAUUUCUGACCAUAGAACAAAUACUGUUCUCCCACCUGGAAAAGACUUUUCUAUUCCUCUUCACCUGGUUCACUUAUCUUUAAACCUUCGAUCUCAGUUCAAGCAUCAUUGUUUUUUUUCCCAUAAGCAUCUUUCUGACUAGGUUAGAGUCCCUAUUAUACAUGUUUAUAAUAUGCGAGACUUUCAAGUACAUAUAAUGCAUAUUAGCUUCAUGAUCCAUUGUGGAAAACAUUUUUUUUUCUUACAUUGUGUCCUCAGUACCUAGAUUUGUACAUACCAUAUUCUCAGUAUAUACUUGUCAAAUGAAUGAAUUCAGGGAUGAAUGAUGGAAAUGUUUUAUAAAUAAAUAAGCCUGAUGCUCAGAGAAAUUGAAUGAUUAACCUAAAGUCAUCUAAAAAAGUGGUAGGUCUGUGUUUAUAAUCAGGUUCCUGCCCUGAUGGCUCAUAAUGGUAUUUUUGAAUUUUCUUUAUUCCUACAAUUUGUUCACCCAACCUGAGAAAAGUCAGAAACAGAACAGAUGCCAGAUGGGAAUAAACCCACCUUGAAAAUCCAUAGAAAUAAGAGGAACUCAUUAAAGGACUUUCUUUUCUUUAAUCAGAGAGACUGACAAAUAUUAUACUGCUGAAUGGGUAGCUUGGCUAACACAAGCAUAUCCAUUAUGAAAUGAUUACACUUUUGUUUGGAUGCCAACUUCUUUGACAAAAGAAAAAAAUAAAAUGUAAUGGACCAAAGUGAGCCUGCAGGAGCUGACAGCUUCCUUCUUUUUUUUUUUUUUUUUUUUUUUUUUUAGGGCCGCACCUGCAGCAUAUGGAGGUUCCCAGGCUAGGGGUCAAAUCGGAGCUACAGCUGCCAGCCUACACUACAGCCACAGCAACACCAGAUCCGAACCACAUCUGCGACCUACACCACAGCUCAUGGCAAAGCCGGAUCCUUAACCCACCGAGCUAGGCCAGGGAUCGAACCUGCAACUUCAUGGGUCCUAGUCGGAUUUGUUCCCUCUGCGCUACCCCGGGAACUCCCGGAUCUGACAGCUUCUGACCAACUGACAAGUAGCGAGUUGCCAGCAAGUAGAAACUCCUUGGGUACUCAGCUAAUAUGUUCUCCAUCCCUGGUAGAUCUUCCAGAUAUAGAAUGAGCCUCAAUUUAUCAAAAUAAAUUUUAUGGCAUUUCCAUUUGGGUGUGCAAUGCAGUUCUUAUGACUGGAAGGCUUUUAUCAGCAGCCCAAUACAGGGAAGGGGCUUGUGGAAAUUUAAAGCAAUUGUCAUUCUGGCAUGCCUUGGAAUAAGGUGGACUAGAGUUGAAAGUCCCUGUGUGUGUAUUUAUGUAUGCGUAUGGAUGUAUGUAUCCAUCUACCCAUCUAACUGUUUCUGCAGCUCAUGUGAACAGCUCCUAUACUAUUAAACUGGUCAUCUGGCCCUAUACCUUCCAAAUUCACCAUUUCUGAUGAUUUGUUCCUAGGCAUUCCUACCCUUAUUAUGGUCAGUAUCCCAGACAAUGUCUCCUUUCCCAUCUUAGACCCACCCACCCCUGACUAUUUACUGAAGUGUUUAUUGGUGUCCUAGCUUUCGAAUUUGCUAUUUCGGUAUCACAAUAAGAGUUCUGUGUCUGUGUGUUUCUUUGAACUUGGAUAUUGUGCCACUAAUACUGCUCUCAAAAGCUUUCUUUAGGCAUGACUAAAUGUCUGUCAUUUUUUGAUUUAUUUAUUCAAACCCUCACUUUGUGCAUACAAGAUACCAGAUACUGAUAGAUGCUGAAGAUGAAGCAGCACUCUUGCUCAUGUGCAUGUAAUUAAAUUGUGUUUAAUAUACAUUAUUACAUAAUUAUAAUUCAAUGAGGUAUUUCUAUGGGGACAGAGAUUGCCUCUGGUAUGUUCAGUAAAGGCCUCAAAAGACCUAUGCCUGGAGUUCCCGUCAUGGCUCAGUGGUUCACGAACCCAACUAAGAACCAUGAGGUUGCAGGUUCGAUCCCUGGCUUCGCUCAGUGGGUUAAGGAUCCAGCAUUGCCGUGAGCUGCAGGUCGCAGAUGUGGCUUGGAUUCCGAGUUGCUGUGGCUGUAGGCUCCGAUUAGACCCCCUAGCCUGGGAAUGUCCAUAUGCCAGGGGUGCAGACCUAGAAAAGAAAUCCCAUGCCGGACCCAGAACCCUUUUUAAGUACCUGCUACUUUCUUGGCUUUGUAUCACCUCUGUCCCCAUGUCAUCCAUGGCUCUUUAAAUUUGGGGCAAACCAUUGGGUCCACCUAUGCCUUCCCCCUCCCACUUUUUGCUUACUUCUACCCAUAAGUUUCCAGAAAUAGGAAAUUAGAACAUUCUGCUCUGUUUGUAACUCUCACCAGAUAUCAAGUAUCUGGAUGGAAAUGACUGUUUAAUUCAUCUUUAUAACCCUUGUAUCUAAUCCUGUGUCUCCAUUCAAUAGUAUUUGGUAAAUGUUGAACUCACUGGCUCAUUUGAUAAAUGAAAGGCAAGUUUUAAGUGUCAUUUUCUGCAACCAGAACUCAAAAUAGGAUUAACUUUGUCAUCCCUCAGAAAUGAAGCCAUUUCUAACAUGCCUUUCAGUAAU